Molecule: ribosomal RNA, 440 nt
Filed under: uncultured bacterium
Lineage: Bacteria
Description: partial 16S ribosomal RNA
Rfam family: Bacterial small subunit ribosomal RNA
Source: RNAcentral
CCUACGGGAGGCAGCAGUGGGGGAUAUUGGACAAUGGGGGAAACUCUGAUCCAGCGAUGCCGCGUGAGGGAUGAAGGCCUUCGGAUUGUUAACCUUUGUGGAGGUGGACGUAAAUGAUGCUACCUCUUUAGGAAGCUAUGUCUAACUACGUGCCAGCAGCCCCGGUAACACGUAGGUGGCGAGCGUUGUACGGAAUUACUGGGUGUAAAGGGAGUGUAGGCGGGUAAGCAAGUCAGAAGUGAAAACUAUGGGCUUAACCUAUAGCCUGCUUUUGAAACUGUUAUUUUUGAGUAAAGUAGAGGCGAGCGGAAUUCGUGGUGUAGCGGUGAAAUGCGUAGAUAUUAGGAAGAACACCAGUGGCGAAGGCAGCUUACUGGGCUUUUACUGACGCUGAGGCUCGAAAGCGUGGGGAGCAAACAGGAUUAGAUACCCUGGUAGUC